RNAcentral lists this ribosomal RNA (274 nucleotides) under uncultured bacterium. RNAcentral's name for it is "partial 16S ribosomal RNA". It matches the Rfam family "Bacterial small subunit ribosomal RNA", at positions 523 to 796 of the family's 1533-position model. The record is from RNAcentral.
AUACGGAGGGUGCAAGCGUUAUUCGGAAUCACUGGGCGUAAAGGACGCGUAGGCGGGUUGGCAAGUCAGAUGUGAAAUCCUACAGCUUAACUGUAGAACUGCAUUUGAAACUGCUAACCUAGAGUAUGGGAGGGGGAGAUGGAAUUAGUGGUGUAGGGGUAAAAUCCGUAGAUAUCACUAGGGAUACCGAGAGCGAAGGCGAUCUCCUGGAACAUAACUGACGCUAAGGCGUGAAAGCGUGGGGAGCAUACAGGAUUAGAAACCCCAGUAGUCC